UAAUUUCGCAGAAAAUACUGGUGGUGGGUGACUCGCUGCUGCUGCAGUCUGCCGUGGGAGGAUUAUCCCGUUUGUUUCUCACAAUCUUUUUGGGUUUUUAUUUUAUUUUAUAUGUUCUGCAAUGGCUAUGGCUUCGAUAAAAUGCAUUGAGACACGGAUUGUGCAUAAUUCCCUAAUGGGUUUGAAACCCACAACUAUAAACAAAUCACAGCAGCGGCCGAAUGCAAAGCAGGAGGCUCGUGUCGUUGUUGUUUUUCCAGUAUUACCCAUUUCGAGAAGGUCUGCAAUUCUGAUGUCCCCUCUGCUGCCUUUGAGCCUCAUUUCGCUUUUGCCCAAACCCUCACUUGCCAGAGAGAGGCGCAACAGAAAGACCAUCCCAAUUGAAGACUACCUCACCAGCCCAGCUGAUGGGCUGAAAUACUAUGAUGUUGUUGAGGGGAAGGGUCCGGUAGCUGAAAAGGGCUCCACAGUUCAGGUGCAUUUUGACUGUCUAUAUGGCAAGAUUACGGCAGUGUCAAGCCGAGAAUCUAAACUUUUAGCUGGAAAUCGGAUAAUUGCUCAGCCUUAUGAGUUCAAGGUUGGAGCUCCCCCAGGGAAAGAACGAAAGCGUGACUUUGCUGAUAACCCCAAUGGCCUGUUCUCUGCACAGGCUGCACCAAAACCCCCACCAGCUAUGUAUUCAAUAACUGAAGGAAUGAAACUUGGAGGAAAGACAUCGUCUCAUCUUUUCUUUGCAGAGGACUGUGAUAGUUCCGCCUGAGGUUGGAUAUGGCCAGAAGGGGAUGGGUGAAAUUCCGGUAAAUGCUUAACUGCAGACUGCAGUGGUUAUUCUGUUAUUUGACUGCAAACAUCUGUUUCUUUUAAUCCGUUUGCCAGGAGCUACAUUUGAGCUGAAUCUUGAGCUCUUGGAAGUAAAACCACCGGAAGGAAAGUAGGCUGUUUUGGGGCUAUUGUGAUCUUGCUGAUAGACCGAGUUUGACUCUUAUUCUAGUCCUUGUGCAAAAUAUUCUGGUGGUCAUUCUUUCCCACGGAUUACUACAUUUUCCUUGAAGGCCCAAAAUUUUUCAAGUAAUAUAUAUUCCCUCUAACCAGUGCUUCGAUCUGAUUGUUUUGUUCGAUCAGAACCUGUUGUAAUAUAUGUUAUAGAGGCAAGGUUUUACCCCUUAUAACAGUGCACCAGUUUUAAACCUGAGUGGUUUGUUUUUAGAACCUUAAAUGACGCCUUUGGUUGAUAGCACUGUAAUCAUACGAUGUGGUAAAUCGUUCUGGCUCGCACAUUAAAUAUCUUCAUUGUUCGUUGACCU
This is an RNA transcript of Rhododendron vialii, 1304 nucleotides long. It is a transcript of the gene named peptidyl-prolyl cis-trans isomerase FKBP18, chloroplastic, with no coding region annotated. The transcript is spliced from 6 exons. The record is from RefSeq and is a predicted model, not a curated record. NCBI's taxonomy places the organism in Eukaryota, Viridiplantae, Streptophyta, Magnoliopsida, Ericales, Ericaceae.